This 765-nucleotide ribosomal RNA is filed under the name uncultured Lactococcus sp. RNAcentral describes it as "bacterial SSU rRNA". It matches the Rfam family "Bacterial small subunit ribosomal RNA", at positions 28 to 775 of the family's 1533-position model. Lineage: Bacteria; Bacillati; Bacillota; Bacilli; Lactobacillales; Streptococcaceae. The record is from RNAcentral.
GACGAACGCUGGCGGCGUGCCUAAUACAUGCAAGUUGAGCGAUGAAGAUUGGUGCUUGCACCAAUUUGAAGAGCAGCGAACGGGUGAGUAACGCGUGGGGAAUCUGCCUUUGAGCGGGAGACAACAUUUGGAAACGAAUGCUAAUACCGCAUAAUAACUUUAAACAUAAGUUUUAAGUUUGAAAGAUGCAAUUGCAUCACUCAAAGAUGAUCCCGCGUUGUAUUAGCUAGUUGGUGAGGUAAAGGCUCACCAAGGCGAUGAUACAUAGCCGACCUGAGAGGGUGAUCGGCCACAUUGGGACUGAGACACGGCCCAAACUCCUACGGGAGGCAGCAGUAGGGAAUCUUCGGCAAUGGACGAAAGUCUGACCGAGCAACGCCGCGUGAGUGAAGAAGGUUUUCGGAUCGUAAAACUCUGUUGGUAGAGAAGAACGUUGGUGAGAGUGGAAAGCUCAUCAAGUGACGGUAACUACCCAGAAAGGGACGGCUAACUACGUGCCAGCAGCCGCGGUAAUACGUAGGUCCCGAGCGUUGUCCGGAUUUAUUGGGCGUAAAGCGAGCGCAGGUGGUUUAUUAAGUCUGGUGUAAAAGGCAGUGGCUCAACCAUUGUAUGCGUUGGAAACUGGUAGACUUGAGUGCAGGAGAGGAGAGUGGAAUUCCAUGUGUAGCGGUGAAAUGCGUAGAUAUAUGGAGGAACACCGGUGGCGAAAGCGGCUCUCUGGGCCUGUAACUGACACUGAGGCUCGAAAGCGUGGGGAGCAAACAG